RNAcentral lists this ribosomal RNA (301 nucleotides) under uncultured bacterium. RNAcentral describes it as "partial 16S ribosomal RNA". It matches the Rfam family "Bacterial small subunit ribosomal RNA", at positions 509 to 809 of the family's 1533-position model. The record is from RNAcentral.
CAGCAGCCGCGGGAAUACGUAGGGUGCAAGCGUUAAUCGGAGUUACUGGGCGUAAAGCGUGCGCAGGCGGUUUGUUAAGACAGAUGUGAAAUCCCCGGGCUCAACCUGGGAACUGCAUUUGUGACUGGCAAGCUAGAGUAUGGCAGAGGGGGGUGGAAUUCCGCGCGUAGCAGUGAAAUGCGUAGAUAUGCGGAGGAACACCGAUGGCGAAGGCAGCCCCCUGGGCCAAUACUGACGCUCAUGCACGAAAGCGUGGGGAGCAAACAGGAUUAGAUACCCGUGUAGUCCCUGUCUCUUAUAA